GAGAGUUUCAAGACUUUUAGAGAUUCUUCAGGAGCUUGAAUACGUCAAGUAGUUGCAAGGAAGAGUAAGAAAAUUCUCGGCCAAAGAGUUAGUUACAUUUUUACGUAGGUAUAUGAGAGUUGAGUAAUUAGAUUGUUUUUCUUUCACAACACACCACCUCAAAGUGCUCAUAGUCCUCCAAGAAGGUCUCCAGUAGUUGAUAGAAGAAGUCAUUCACCACGAAGGAUGGGAUCUCAAAUACUUGUGCUGACAAAGAGCCGUCUUCAAACAAUUUUUUGACACAAGCUUUAGGUACACAAGAGAGUAGUGGACGUGUACAUAGAGUUAGCGGGUUUGUCACUCCAACUACUUACUUCCACAUAGCAAAAUGCUCAAAGAAACAGAGUGAAUAAAUUGAGAAGCUUAGUCAAGAGAAUGAAACACUUCAUUUGUGAGUUGAAGAAUUAGAGAAUAUUCACAUAUCAACACAAUCUACACCAACAUCUGCACAUGGAUCAUGCUCCAGACCAAGAUUGGCAUACGAUAUUCAAUGUAAAAAGAAUCUAGAAAAUGAGAAAAUGAAUGUCAUAACGAAAGUGGUUAAAGAGGAGGUGAAUAUGGAUGUGAUUAUUUUGAAUGAUCAACAUGAGGAUGCUACCGAGGUUCGUAAUGAAAAGGUUGUCUAUGAGUCCAAUAUCAACAUGUCACUACCUUUGAAGACAAUACUCAAUUUGCUGAAAAGGUAUUUGCAUUCCUAAAGAUCAUGUUUCAAAUUACAUCUUCGUUGACCCAUCCUAUAUAUUUGUUGGACACAACACCCAAGAAGUUAAAGCUCGCAAUUUGUGAGUAGAUUAAUGGCUUCAAAACAAAACCAACUCGUUCUGGCUCCAUUUAAUCCAGGUGUCUUUUGCAAGUUGGAGUAGUUGAAUGUGGGUACUAAAGAUUAAACAUGCAUGGCGGACACUACAAAAAGUAAGGCCACUCCCGACGUAUAAAAACGUCGGCAUAAGUGUAAAUAACGUCGGAACUGAAUUUUCGAUGUAGAAAGUGACCUCGAGAAGACCGUUGGAAGAAAGCGUCAGGAGAAAGAUUCUUGAUGAGUCCCCAAUACGACAUCAGGAAUAUACUUCUUCCGACGACCUCGUUACCGACGUUUUCAAUGCAUCCAAAAUAAGGCAUCUCUAACGUCCGCAGUUCCGACGUCAUCUAUGCGUCGGAAAUAACUAUUUUCGAAUGUUAGCAUAGUCGAUGUCAUCCAUGCAUCGAAAUUAACCAUCCCCGACGUAACGA
Molecule: long non-coding RNA, 1269 nt
Organism: Cucumis melo (muskmelon)
Lineage: Eukaryota; Viridiplantae; Streptophyta; Magnoliopsida; Cucurbitales; Cucurbitaceae
Exons: 6
Source: RefSeq, a predicted model, not a curated record